UGGGGAAUAUUGCACAAUGGAGGGAACUCUGAUGCAGCGACGCCGCGUGAGUGAUGAAGGAAUUCGUUUCGUAAAACUCUGUUCUAUGGGAAGAAAAGGACUGUACCAUAGGAGAAAGCUCCGGCUAAAUACGUGCCAGCAGCCGCGGUAAUACGUAUAGAGCGAGCGUUGUCCGGAAUUAUUGGGCGUAAAGGGUGCGCAGGCGGCUUUACAAGUUGGAUGUGAAAUAUUGUGGCUCAACCACAAACGUGCAUCCAAAACUGCAAAGCUUGAGUGAAGGAGAGGUAAGUGGAAUUCCUGGUGUAGCGGUGGAAUGCGUAGAUAUCAGGAGGAAUACCGGUGGCGAAGGCGACUUACUGGACUUAAACUGACGCUCAGGCACGAAAGCGUGGGGAGCAAACAGG
Molecule: ribosomal RNA, 404 nt
Filed under: Fusobacteriota bacterium
Lineage: Bacteria; Fusobacteriati; Fusobacteriota
Description: Fusobacteria bacterium partial 16S ribosomal RNA
Rfam family: Bacterial small subunit ribosomal RNA
Source: RNAcentral